Molecule: long non-coding RNA, 217 nt
Filed under: Salvia miltiorrhiza (redroot sage)
Lineage: Eukaryota; Viridiplantae; Streptophyta; Magnoliopsida; Lamiales; Lamiaceae
Description: long non-coding RNA (SMIL_LNC001503)
Source: RNAcentral
AAAACCGUUAUGUAUAAGCAUUAUAGAUAACGGUUUCAUACCGUUAUGUAUAGAAAAAAAACUGUUAACUAUGAUAGGAAAAAAACAAAAAAAAUACAAAACAUAACGGAAAAAUCCUCAUACAUAACGGUAUAAACCGUUAUGUAUAAUCAUUAUAGAUAACGGUUUCAUACCGUUAUGUAUAGAAAAAAAACUGUUAACUAUGAUAGGAAAAAAA